RNAcentral lists this ribosomal RNA (501 nucleotides) under uncultured bacterium. RNAcentral describes it as "bacterial SSU rRNA". It matches the Rfam family "Bacterial small subunit ribosomal RNA", at positions 26 to 518 of the family's 1533-position model. The record is from RNAcentral.
GCUAGGAUGAACGCUAGCGGCAGGCUUAACACAUGCAAGUCGCGGGGCAGCGCGGGUAGCAAUACCUGGCGGCGACCGGCGGAAGGGUGCGUAACGCGUGAGCAACAUGCCCGUCUCAGGGGGAUAACCGAUGGAAGCGUCGCCUAAUACCCCGUAACAACAGAUCCCGCAUGAGAUUUGUUUGAAAGCUCCGGCGGAGACGGAUUGGCUCGCGUGACAUUAGCUUGUUGGCGGGGUAACGGCCCACCAAGGCUACGAUGUCUAGGGGUUCUGAGAGGAAGGUCCCCCGCACUGGAACUGAGACACGGUCCAGACUCCUACGGGAGGCAGCAGUGAGGAAUAUUGGUCAAUGGGCGGAAGCCUGAACCAGCCAUGCCGCGUGCAGGAAUGAGGCCCCCUACGGGUCGUAAACUGCUUUUGCUGCGGAGCAAUAAGUGUUACGUGUAACACGAUGAGAGUACGCAGCGAAUAAGCAUCGGCUAACUCCGUGCCAGCAGCCGC